GACGAACGCUGGCGGCGUGCGUAAUACAUGCAAGUCGAACGCACGAAGUUGAAGAGCUUGCUCUUUAACCAAGUGAGUGGCGGACGGGUGAGUAACACGUGGGUAACCUGCCCAUUAGAGGGGGAUAACAUUCGGAAACGGAUGCUAAUACCGCAUAGUUUCAGGRAUCGCAUGAUUCUUGAAGGAAAGGUGGCUUCGGCUACCACUAAUGGAUGGACCCGCGGCGUAUUAGCUAGUUGGUGAGGUAAUGGCUCACCAAGGCAAUGAUACGUAGCCGACCUGAGAGGGUGAUCGGCCACACUGGGACUGAGACACGGCCCAGACUCCUACGGGAGGCAGCAGUAGGGAAUCUUCCGCAAUGGACGAAAGUCUGACGGAGCAACGCCGCGUGAGUGAAGAAGGUUUUCGGAUCGUAAAACUCUGUUGUUAAAGAAGAACAAGGAUGAGAGUAACUGCUCAUCCCCUGACGGUAUUUAACCAGAAAGCCACGGCUAACUACGUGCCAGCAGCCGCGGUAAUACGUAGGUGGCAAGCGUUGUCCGGAUUUAUUGGGCGUAAAGCGAGCGCAGGCGGUUCUUUAAGUCUGAUGUGAAAGCCCCCGGCUCAACCGGGGAGGGUCAUUGGAAACUGGAGAACUUGAGUGCAGAAGAGGAGAGUGGAAUUCCACGUGUAGCGGUGAAAUGCGUAGAUAUGUGGAGGAACACCAGUGGCGAAGGCGACUCUCUGGUCUGUAACUGACGCUGAGGCUCGAAAGCGUGGGGAGCAAACAGGAU
Molecule: ribosomal RNA, 773 nt
Filed under: Carnobacterium maltaromaticum
Lineage: Bacteria; Bacillati; Bacillota; Bacilli; Lactobacillales; Carnobacteriaceae
Description: bacterial SSU rRNA
Rfam family: Bacterial small subunit ribosomal RNA
Source: RNAcentral